CCUACGGGAGGCAGCAGUGAGGAAUAUUGGUCAAUGGGCGAGAGCCUGAACCAGCCAAGUCGCGUGAGGGAAGACGGUCCUAUGGAUUGUAAACCUCUUUUGCCGGGGAGCAAAAAGCGGUACGUGUACCGCAUCGAGAGUACCCGGAGAAAAAGCAUCGGCUAACUCCGUGCCAGCAGCCGCGGUAAUACGGAGGAUGCGAGCGUUAUCCGGAUUUAUUGGGUUUAAAGGGUGCGCAGGCGGCGAGUUAAGUCAGCGGUAAAAUUUCGGGGCUCAACCCCGACAAGCCGUUGAAACUGGCGUGCUAGAGUGGGCGAGAAGUAUGCGGAAUGCGUGGUGUAGCGGUGAAAUGCAUAGAUAUCACGCAGAACUCCGAUUGCGAAGGCAGCAUACCGGCGCCCAACUGACGCUCAGGCACGAAAGCGUGGGUAUCGAACAGGAUUAGAUACCCGGGUAGUC
Molecule: ribosomal RNA, 459 nt
Filed under: uncultured bacterium
Lineage: Bacteria
Description: partial 16S ribosomal RNA
Rfam family: Bacterial small subunit ribosomal RNA
Source: RNAcentral